This 1147-nucleotide long non-coding RNA is filed under the name Elaeis guineensis (African oil palm). RNAcentral describes it as "long non-coding RNA (EGUI_LNC082655)". Lineage: Eukaryota; Viridiplantae; Streptophyta; Magnoliopsida; Arecales; Arecaceae. The record is from RNAcentral.
UCAAAUUUUACUCAGAGAACGAUAUCUCAGGCUGAUCCAGAUCAGACUAUGAUCCCUCAUAUCUCUACUAUCUUUCAGAUGCUUACAGCUCAGUCUGCACGACUUGAGGAGCUUGAGGGAUGUGUUCUGAGACUGACGGGCAGAGUUUAGAUUUACAGAGGUAGGUAUUAGCCUUAGCCCAUCCCCAGCCGCAAGAGGACAUCAUGGAGGUCUCCAACCUGUCUGCAGAGGCGGCUAGGCUUCGAGGCAUUUUGGAGAGUGGCUUUGAUUUUUUUAGAAGAGAGAUCAGGGACUCCAAUGAGGCUGUCUCUACUCAGAUUGGUACCCUGAUACAGUCCAUAUCGAGGACUUUGAAAUAAUUGGACACCAUCAGACUUGUUCUCCUAGCACAGUCCAUAUCUUCCCAGGCUCUAGGACCUUCUCGCCCUUCUGCUCGUGUCGGUACUUCUACCCAUGGCUGAGGCAGAUGUGGUCGAGGACGUGCUCGUAGCUUUGAUUCUGAGUCUCCUCAUCAUAUCUCUGACUCUUCUGAUUCUGACGGCUCUAGCCAUGAUAUUUAUUAGAUCUAGCAUAGUUAGUCUUUUAUGUCUAGGAUCUAACUUAUGGUCUUUGUAUUUGUUGGCUGAUUAACUCAUGGAUAGUUAUAUUUUUUGUUACCCAUGACUUUUGUAUGGCCUAUGUAUUUUGACUUGACUCUUAUGUAUUGUGACACUUAUGUAUCUGAUAACUCUUCAGUCAUAUUUUGGAUAUAUAUAUAUAUAUACUUUUAACUUCUAUGAAUGUUAUUUGGAUUAAUUAUUAUGAAUGACAAUAUCUUCUAUAUGAGCAAAUUGAAAUGUCCUUUAUGAUUGCUAUAGUGAGGGGGAGUCUUUUUCAUUUUUCUUUAAAAAUCACUUAAGAUCUUAAUUGAUGUUGUCAAAAAGAGGGAGUAGAGAAAUAAAAUCGGACAAUAAGCAAAUUUAUCAAAGAAAAUAAUCUUAUAAGUAAUUUUCAAACUCAUGAUGUUCAAACUACUCAUGAUGUAUUUUAUUCAAAUAAUUGACUAUAAUGUUUAAGUGAUGCAUCUUCAUAAAUUUAAAAUUCUUAAUCAAUGCUUUAUAUAUAUGUUAUAUUUUGCUUUUGCUCAACUAUUUUGUCAUCAUCAAAA